Molecule: long non-coding RNA, 387 nt
Organism: Scatophagus argus
Lineage: Eukaryota; Metazoa; Chordata; Actinopteri; Scatophagidae
Exons: 3
Source: RefSeq, a predicted model, not a curated record
CAGAAGACAAAUACAGAACAAAACAUAUCAAGUCAGCAUUUUGGAGUCCUACCUCCUGUCACUUUAAAAGGAUAUGAAAUUCUUUGUCCCCAAAGGCUGUUGUUAGGUCCUUCAAAGCUGUCACUUCAGGAUCCACAAGUAACCCUGCAUCCUGAGUGCGUAGAGUUCUGGUUGGAUAAUAAAGGUUCCAUGAGCGCUUUGAGAUAAGAUAGUGCUUGGCCAUUUAGUUGACUCCACAAGACUCUAGAAAGGAAGAAGUCAAUAAAACACAUCCUGCUCUUUGUGGGGAAGACACAAGUACAGCAAUGUCUGCCUGAAAGUGAGUGCAUAUACAGAGGUUUACAUAGCAUUACAUAGCAAUUUAGUAACCACCACAGUAACCAGUUU